GCUGGCAGUUGUUGCUGGCUGCCUACCCCACAGCCAUCCCCUUCCGCGUUCCAUGCUGCUAUGCUCUUUCUUGCUGAAUAGAACCCCCAUUCUGUUCAGGAAUCAAGGACUAUGUGUUCCACAGCAGCCUGAGCCCCAGUCAUAGCCCCCGCCCCAGGGAGGAAUCUUGAUUGGCAAGGCAAGAGGUAGGGAUUGGCAGAUCAAAAGAGCCUUCCAGGACUUGCCUGCAGCCAGAACAUCCUGGGUCAAGACAGGUGGAGGAAGAAGUCGUGCCCAGUCCUUGGGUUUUUUCCAUGUCCCUUCUUGCUUCCAAACCCCGGCUUUGGUACCUGCAGCCUGAACCCACUGGUAUGGCUCAGCUCUGUCCCCACCAAAAUCUCAUCUUGAAUUCUCAUGUGUUGUGGGAAGGACCAGGUAGGAGGUAAUUGAAUCAUGGGGUGAGGUCUUUCUUGUGCUAUUCUUAUGAUAGUAAGUGUCAUAAGAUCUAUAGUUAUUAUAAGGGGGAGUCCCCCUGUACAAGCUCUCUCUUUGCCUGCUGCCAUCCAUGUAAGACAUGACUUGCUCCUCCUUGCCUUCUGCCAUGACUGUGAGGCUCCCCCACCCAUGUGAAACUGUUAGUCCAAUUAAACCUCUUUCUUUGGUAAA
This is a long non-coding RNA of Callithrix jacchus (white-tufted-ear marmoset), 645 nucleotides long. RefSeq lists it as uncharacterized. Lineage: Eukaryota; Metazoa; Chordata; Mammalia; Primates; Cebidae. The record is from RefSeq and is a predicted model, not a curated record.